UACAUGGGGUGCAAACGUUGCUCGGAAUUAUUGGGCGUAAAGCGCGCGUAGGCGGUUACUCAAGUCGGAUGUGAAAGCCCUCGGCUUAACUGAGGAAGUGCACCCGAAACUGAGUAGCUAGAGUACUAAAGAGGGUCGCGGAAUUCCCGGUGUAGAGGUGAAAUUCGUAGAUAUCGAGAGGAACACCGGUGGCGAAGGCGGCCUUCUGGACAGUGACUGACGCUGAGACGCGAAAGCGUGGGGAGCAAACAGG
This 253-nucleotide ribosomal RNA is filed under the name uncultured bacterium. RNAcentral's name for it is "partial 16S ribosomal RNA". It matches the Rfam family "Bacterial small subunit ribosomal RNA", at positions 524 to 776 of the family's 1533-position model. The record is from RNAcentral.